This 252-nucleotide ribosomal RNA is filed under the name uncultured prokaryote. Its description in RNAcentral is "partial 16S rRNA". It matches the Rfam family "Archaeal small subunit ribosomal RNA", at positions 475 to 726 of the family's 1478-position model. The record is from RNAcentral.
ACCGGCGGCUCGAGUGGUGGCCACUAUUACUGGGCUUAAAGCGUUCGUAGCUGGCUUGUUCAGUCUCUGGGGAAAUCUUCCGGCUCAACCGGAAGGCGUCUCAGGGAUACUGGCAGGCUAGGGACAGGAAGUGGUGAGAGGUACUCCAGUGGGAGGACUGAAAACGUGGAAUCCUAGGGGGAGGACCUGUGGCUAAGGCAGCAAACCAGGACAACUCCCACAGUGGGGAACGAAAGCGGGGAGAGCAAAGAG